CCGCAUGCAUACAAACAGUGGGAGCCUCCUUGAGGGGUGACUGCGUACCUUUUGUAUAAUGGGUCAGCGACUUACGUUCAGUAGCGAGCUUAACCGAAUAGGGGAGGCGUAGGGAAACCGAGUCUGAUAAGGGCGCCUAGUUGCUGGACGUAGACCCCGAAACCAAGUGAUCUAUCCAUGGCCAGGAUGAAGGUGCGGUAACACGCACUGGAGGUCCGAACCCACUAAUGUUGAAAAAUUAGGGGAUGAGCUGUGGAUAGGGGUGAAAGGCUAAACAAACUUGGAAAUAGCUGGUUCUCUCCGAAAACUAUUUAGGUAGUGCCUCAAGUAUCACCGACGGGGGUAAAGCACUGUUAUGGCUAGGGGGUCAUCGCGACUUACCAAACCAUUGCAAACUCAGAAUACCGUUGAGUGCGAGCUUGGGGAGACAGACAUCGGGUGCUAACGUCCGGUGUCAAGAGGGAAACAACCC
Molecule: ribosomal RNA, 472 nt
Filed under: uncultured bacterium
Lineage: Bacteria
Description: bacterial LSU rRNA
Rfam family: Bacterial large subunit ribosomal RNA
Source: RNAcentral